GCAGACGCCUUUGGUGUGGCCGCGCCGCAAGACGCGGAGGAAAGUCCGGACUGCACAUGACGGGAUAGCGGCUAACGGCCGCCGGGGGCGACCCCAGGAUCAGAGCAACAGAGACGAGUCGCGCGGUCUCCGCGCGGGUGAAACGGGCAAUCUCUAUCCGCAGCAACCCCAAGUAGGUUCCGAUAUGCGGGUCAUGACGCAGGAACGGGUAGGGGGCUUGACGCCCAUGGCAACAUGGCGCGCAGAUUAAUCACAUCACUCGACAGAAUCCGGCUUACCGGGCGUCUGCAAAA
This 293-nucleotide RNase P RNA is filed under the name Rickettsiales bacterium. Its description in RNAcentral is "RNase P RNA component class A". It matches the Rfam family "Bacterial RNase P class A". From Rfam's summary of the family: Ribonuclease P (RNase P) is a ubiquitous endoribonuclease, found in archaea, bacteria and eukarya as well as chloroplasts and mitochondria. Its best characterised activity is the generation of mature 5'-ends of tRNAs by cleaving the 5'-leader elements of precursor-tRNAs. Lineage: Bacteria; Pseudomonadati; Pseudomonadota; Alphaproteobacteria; Rickettsiales. The record is from RNAcentral.